GGAAGCGGACAUUAAAUGAAGUGAUUUCACACAAUAAAUUUAACAUUUAACAACGUGCUGAAAUGAUUUUGGAGCAGUGAUAUGUUUGACAAAUGUAAGCUAAUGGUCACAUAGAAUACAAGACCGCAGAAUCACAUUAUGAUUAAAGCAGAAACGGCUCGACUUGAACCAGCAGACGGAAGAUAUGGACGAACAACAAGAAGAAGUUAUGGAGGUCCCAACAACUGAACCUAUGGAAGUAGAAGAAUCGUUUACAGCCGAAACCCGAUACGAUGUGCCAGUUCCGGUCAUAGAGUCCUCCAUCUCAGACGAUGCCGACGUUAGUGUCUUCUGCGACGAAGACCCCGUAGUGGUGUAUACGCAGGUAGAAGCUGGUUCCUCCCGUGGCAAGUCCAAGUUGUUUAACAACCAAGGGUUUAGUUAUACA
Long non-coding RNA from Patella vulgata (common limpet), 427 nucleotides. RefSeq lists it as uncharacterized. The record is from RefSeq and is a predicted model, not a curated record. The transcript has 3 exons. Lineage: Eukaryota; Metazoa; Mollusca; Gastropoda; Patellidae.